UCCAUACAUUCAUGGUAGCAGUUGACAUAGUCGAUGCGAUUAAGAAAAAUCGUAAUCAUCCUGAUCAUCUCCACAACUCAGAUACUCCAGAAUUCAUCCUAACCAUGAUUCAACUCACAAGCAUGGAGUACUAUGUAAUUUAGAGCAGGUCGAUGUUGCUUACUUUUCAAGCUAAGAGUAAGUUAAGUUUUAUGAAUGAAAUCUAUAAAAAGGGCGACUACAAAGAUGAGACUGAGUAGUGACAAAUAAG
This 250-nucleotide long non-coding RNA is filed under the name Capsicum annuum. RNAcentral's name for it is "long non-coding RNA (CANN_LNC014230)". Lineage: Eukaryota; Viridiplantae; Streptophyta; Magnoliopsida; Solanales; Solanaceae. The record is from RNAcentral.